GAAGCGGGGAUGACGUCAAGUCCUCAUGGCCCUUACAUCCCGGGCUACACACGUGCUACAAUGGCAGGUACAGAGGGCUGCGAAGCCGCGAGGUGGAGCGAAUCCCAGAAAACCUGUCUCAGUCCGGAUUGAAGUCUGCAACUCGACUUCAUGAAGGCGGAAUCGCUAGUGACCGCGAAUCAGCAGGUCGCGGUGAAUACGUUCCCGGGCCUU
This 213-nucleotide ribosomal RNA is filed under the name uncultured Latescibacterota bacterium. Its description in RNAcentral is "uncultured Latescibacteria bacterium partial 16S ribosomal RNA". It matches the Rfam family "Bacterial small subunit ribosomal RNA", at positions 1170 to 1382 of the family's 1533-position model. Lineage: Bacteria; Pseudomonadati; Candidatus Latescibacterota. The record is from RNAcentral.